This 301-nucleotide ribosomal RNA is filed under the name uncultured bacterium. RNAcentral's name for it is "partial 16S ribosomal RNA". It matches the Rfam family "Bacterial small subunit ribosomal RNA", at positions 509 to 808 of the family's 1533-position model. The record is from RNAcentral.
CAGCCGCCGCGGUAAUACGUAGGGUGCAAGCGUUAAUCGGAAUUACUGGGCGUAAAGCGUGCGCAGGCGGUUAUAUAAGACAGAUGUGAAAUCCCCGGGCUCAACCUGGGAACUGCAUUUGUGACUGUAUAGCUAGAGUACGGCAGAGGGGGAUGGAAUUCCGCGUGUAGCAGUGAAAUGCGUAGAUAUGCGGAGGAACACCGAUGGCGAAGGCAAUCCCCUGGGCCUGUACUGACGCUCAUGCACGAAAGCGUGGGGAGCAAACAGGAUUAGAUACCCCUGUAGUCCCGUCUCUUAUACA